RNAcentral lists this long non-coding RNA (1167 nucleotides) under Homo sapiens (human). RNAcentral's name for it is "PREDICTED lncRNA (TCONS_00265589)". The record is from RNAcentral. Lineage: Eukaryota; Metazoa; Chordata; Mammalia; Primates; Hominidae.
AUAUCGGGGGUGCACUGGCACAGAGGAAAGGCCAUGUGAAGCAAGAAGGCAGCCAUCUGCAAGCCAAGGAGAGAAAUUUCAGAAGGAACCAACCCUACCGACAUCUUGAUCUUGGACUUUAAGCUGCCAGACCUUUUAUACAUUUUCUACAGAAAAUGCACCCCAUCAUUGCUUAUAGCCCACCCACGUGGACUGCUCAUUCUGUGAAUCAUGUUUUACAGAAAUUGCCUUGAUGUUAGGAAUUAAAAAAACAAAACAAAACAAAAAACAUGGAGCCGUAUUCUCCAGAAGCUUACAUCUGAUUUAACGAGACAGCAAUAGGAAGCCAAAGGGUCCCUGCAGAGGAGGGUUGCAGCACGAUAACUCUACAGCUGGACAGAGACAGAUUGCAGGGGAGCAAGAAUGAAUGGCAGGCCAGCUGCCAGAAGCUUCUCACUCCGUGGAGACCUUGGAGUCGAGGAUGAAAUGUCUUACAACUGUGGGGAGACCUUGGCUUUUCCAAAGCCUACCAGGGUCCAGGACUUGGAAGCUAAGGCCCAGAGAGGAGGAGAAACUUGAUCAAAGUCAAUCAGACAAUGCAGAAUCGAGAAAAGUACCUGGACCUCUAUGCCCAUGCUUCUAGCAGCCAGCCUCCUAAAAUACCUCUAGUUGAAGCCAAAGUUAGAAUCCUUCUACGAAACUACAGGAUUAAAAUGGAAUGGUUACAUGACCCAGGCUUGACCAAUCAGAUCAUCCAAACCCUUUGCCACAGUGAUUGGUCCAGGGAUACAUGCAUGAGCCAGCUCAGGCCUAAGCCACACUCAUCUUGUGGAUGACACUGGAGCUGUGACAGUCUGUUCUGUCCAGGCAGGGUGUCUUUUAUUUUUAUUGGAAAUAAGAUUAUCACAGUACGCAAGGCCCAAACAAUUGGUGAUAAUGAAGAAACUCUACUACCAGACGUUGCGGGAUGCCUCAAUGACCUAAUCCAGUAAAUCACAGCUCCAGCUGUCCAUGAGCUCUGUCUACCAUCUGAGGAAUUGUUUCUUUUUAAUACAAAGACUGGCACUCAUCAGAUAAUAAUUUCUGGGAUAGAAGCAAAGUAUUGGUAUUUCUUUAAGUCUCUUGAAGGUGAUUCUACUGAGCUGGGAUUAAGAACACACUGCCUUAAUCCUUUCAUCAUCAACAAAA